AUGAACGCUGACAGAAUGCUUCACACAUGCAAGUCAACUUGAACUUCGGUUUGGGUGGCGGACGGGUGAGUAACGCGUAAAGAACUUGCCUCACAGCUAGGGACAACAUUUGGAAACGAAUGCUAAUACCUGAUAUUAUGAUUAUAUGGCAUCGUAUAAUUAUGAAAGCUAUAUGCGCUGUGAGAGAGCUUUGCGUCCCAUUAGCUAGUUGGAGAGGUAACAGCUCACCAAGGCGAUGAUGGGUAGCCGGCCUGAGAGGGUGAUCGGCCACAAGGGGACUGAGACACGGCCCUUACUCCUACGGGAGGCAGCAGUGGGGAAUAUUGGACAAUGGACCGAGAGUCUGAUCCAGCAAUUCUGUGUGCACGAUGAAGUUUUUCGGAAUGUAAAGUGCUUUCAGUUGGGAAGAAAAAAUGACGGUACCAACAGAAGAAGUGACGGCUAAAUACGUG
Molecule: ribosomal RNA, 452 nt
Filed under: uncultured bacterium
Lineage: Bacteria
Description: partial 16S ribosomal RNA
Rfam family: Bacterial small subunit ribosomal RNA
Source: RNAcentral